UAUCUCUGUAGAGUCUGCAUAUCAAUAAGCGGAGGAAAAGAAACUAACAAGGAUUCCCCUAGUAACGGCGAGUGAAGCGGGAAGAGCUCAAAUUUGAAAUCUUCAAGGUUUGACCUUGACGAAUUGUAGUUUAAAGAAGUGUUUUCGGUUAGAGGAGUUUAGGUAAAAGUUCUUUGGAAUAGGACAUCAUAGAGGGUGAGAAUCCCGUAUUUGACCAUUAUUUCCAGCUGUGUGAUACACUUUCAAAGAGUCGGAUUGUUUGGGAAUGCAGUCCAAAAUGGGUGGUAAAUUUCAUCUAAAGCUAAAUAUUGGCGAGAGACCGAUAGCGAACAAGUACCGUGAGGGAAAGAUGAAAAGAACUUUGAAAAGAGAGUUAAACAGUACGUGAAAUUGUCAAAAGGGAAGCGUUUGACACCAGUGUUGUUUUCUCGAAAAUCAAUUAAAAAUGCUGGGAUUUUGUGUUGUAUUGACUUUAUCAGCUUUCUGCACUUUUUUCUAUUCUUUUUUAAUGCUCUUUUCGUUUAACAAGUCAACAUCAAUUUCUUUUGUUGUAAAAGGGUUAUUGGAAGGUGGCUUUCUCUUCGGAGAAAGUGUUUAUAGCCUUUAACCUCUGCAAUCGGAGAGAUUGAGGUCUGCAGCGUAGAUCCUUCGGGGUUAGAUACAUUUGUGCUAAGUUAUAGUCUUUUAUAGACAACUUGUUGACUAUGAUUGAUCUUGUAGCUUACUCGCUUAUGCUAUUUUACCUACGCUUAGGAUGUUGAUCUGUAGUGCGUGCGC
Molecule: ribosomal RNA, 777 nt
Filed under: uncultured Neocallimastigales
Lineage: Eukaryota; Fungi; Neocallimastigomycota; Neocallimastigomycetes; Neocallimastigales
Description: partial large subunit ribosomal RNA
Rfam family: Eukaryotic large subunit ribosomal RNA
Source: RNAcentral